GGUACCGGAAGAAUAAGCACCGGUUAAUUACGUGCCAGCAGCCGCGGUAAUACGUAGGGUGCGAGCGUUAAUCGGAAUUACUGGGCGUAAAGCGUGCGUAGGUGGUUACGAAAGUCGGGUGUGAAAGCCCUGGGCUCAACCUGGGAAUGCCAUUCGAUACUUCGUGACUAGAGUUCGGUAGAGGGCGGCGGAACUCCAGGUGUAGCGGUGAAAUGCGUAGAUAUCUGGAAGAACACCGAUGGCGAAGGCAACUGCCUGGGCCUGAACUGACACUGAGGCACGAAAGCGUGGGGAGCAAACAGGAUUAGAUACCCUGGUAGUC
This 322-nucleotide ribosomal RNA is filed under the name uncultured bacterium. RNAcentral's name for it is "bacterial SSU rRNA". It matches the Rfam family "Bacterial small subunit ribosomal RNA", at positions 474 to 795 of the family's 1533-position model. The record is from RNAcentral.